RNAcentral lists this ribosomal RNA (99 nucleotides) under Nanchangia anserum. The record is from RNAcentral. Lineage: Bacteria; Bacillati; Actinomycetota; Actinomycetes; Actinomycetales; Actinomycetaceae.
AGUGUUACGCCCGGUCCCUUUCCGAACCCGGUAGCUAAGCCUGCCAGCGCUGAUGGUACUGCACCUUUGCGGGUGUGGGAGACUAAGACGCUGCCACAC